This 610-nucleotide ribosomal RNA is filed under the name uncultured bacterium. Its description in RNAcentral is "bacterial SSU rRNA". It matches the Rfam family "Bacterial small subunit ribosomal RNA", at positions 202 to 827 of the family's 1533-position model. The record is from RNAcentral.
GAAAGGAUUUAUUCGGUAAAAGAUGGGCCCGCAUCUGAUUAGCUAGUUGGUGAGAUAAUAGCCCACCAAGGCAACGAUCAGUAGCCGACCUGAGAGGGUGACCGGCCACAUUGGGACUGAGACACGGCCCAAACUCCUACGGGAGGCAGCAGUGGGGAAUAUUGCACAAUGGGGGAAACCCUGAUGCAGCAACGCCGCGUGAAGGAAGACGGUUUUCGGAUUGUAAACUUCUAUCAAUAGGGAAGAAAGAAAUGACGGUACCUAAAUAAGAAGCCCCGGCUAACUACGUGCCAGCAGCCGCGGUAAUACGUAGGGGGCAAGCGUUAUCCGGAAUUACUGGGUGUAAAGGGAGAGUAGGCGGCAAGGUAAGCGAUAUGUGAAAGCCUUAGGCUUAACCUGAGGAUAGCAUAACGAACUAUCUAGCUAGAGUACAGGAGAGGAAAGCGGAAUUCUUAGUGUAGCGGUGAAAUGCGUAGAUAUUAGGAAGAACACCAGUGGCGAAGGCGGCUUUCUGGACUGAAACUGACGCUGAGGCUCGAAAGCGUGGGGAGCGAACAGGAUUAGAUACCCUGGUAGUCCACGCUGUAAACGAUGAGUGCUAGGUGUCGGG